CACCAAUCAAGCCUGGCUUGGUCUUGGGGCACGGGGGUGACCCGGCCCUCAACGUCUUCGGCAGGAGCGCCCCGAUCGCAGCGUUGUGACACAACUCUCGCUGGUGAGACGGGCGGUUCGCGCCGCGAAACCCAUCAAA
This 139-nucleotide unclassified non-coding RNA is filed under the name uncultured Dothideomycetes. RNAcentral describes it as "sequence contains ITS2". The record is from RNAcentral. Lineage: Eukaryota; Fungi; Ascomycota; Dothideomycetes.